ACGCGAAAGUUUUCUUCGGAAGAUGAGUAGAGUGGCGCACGGGUGAGUAACGCGUAAAUAAUCUACCCCUGCAUCCGGGAUAACCCACCGAAAGGUGUGCUAAUACCGGAUACGUUCUCUUUAUCGCGAGAUAGAGAGAAGAAAGGUGGCCUCUGAUAUAAGCUACUGUGCGGGGAGGAGUUUGCGUACCAUUAGCUAGUUGGUAGGGUAAUGGCCUACCAAGGCAACGAUGGUUAGCGGGUCUGAGAGGAUGAUCCGCCACACUGGAACUGGAACACGGACCAGACUCCUACGGGAGGCAGCAGUGAGGAAUAUUGCGCAAUGGGGGCAACCCUGACGCAGCGACGCCGCGUGGAUGAUGAAGGCCUUCGGGUCGUAAAAUCCUGUCAGAUGGAAAGAAAUGUUAUAUGGAUAAUACCUGUAUAGCUUGACGGUACCAUCAAAGGAAGCACCGGCUAACUCCGUGCCAGCAGCCGCGGUAAUACGGAGGGUGCAAGCGUUGUUCGGAAUUACUGGGCGUAAAGCGCGCGUAGGUGGUCUGUUAUGUCAGAUGUGAAAGUCCACGGCUCAACCGUGGAAGUGCAUUUGAAACUGGCAGACUUGAGUACUGGAGGGGGUAGUGGAAUUCCCGGUGUAGAGGUGAAAUUCGUAGAUAUCGGGAGGAAUACCGGUGGCGAAGGCGACUACCUGGCCAGAUACUGACACUGAGGUGCGAAAGCGUGGGGAGCGAACAGGAUUAGAUACCCUGGUAGUCCACGCCGUAAACGAUGUCAACUAGGUGUUGGGAUGGUUAAUCGUCUCAUUGCCGCAGCUAACGCAUUAAGUUGACCGCCUGGGGAGUACGGUCGCAAGAUUAAAACUCAAAGGAAUUGACGGGGGC
This 880-nucleotide ribosomal RNA is filed under the name uncultured bacterium. Its description in RNAcentral is "bacterial SSU rRNA". It matches the Rfam family "Bacterial small subunit ribosomal RNA", at positions 66 to 920 of the family's 1533-position model. The record is from RNAcentral.